This 173-nucleotide non-coding RNA is filed under the name bovine gut metagenome. RNAcentral describes it as "Lysine riboswitch". It matches the Rfam family "Lysine riboswitch aptamer". From Rfam's summary of the family: Riboswitches are metabolite binding domains within certain messenger RNAs that serve as precision sensors for their corresponding targets. Allosteric rearrangement of mRNA structure is mediated by ligand binding, and this results in modulation of gene expression. The record is from RNAcentral.
UUUGGUAGAGGUCGCAUCCGGCAAUCAGUAUUAUUCGGAUAAUAAGCCCUGACAAGGCGAUGCCGUAUAAGAAAGGUGCCGAUGCCGAGGACAGUCAUGUCAAAAACUGCAUCCGGCGCGGUGAAAUAAGAUUUAUCGCGUUGUCGCACCAUAAGGUGCGGAGAGCUAUCGGU